GCCGGUGUAGCUCAGCUGGUAGAGCACCUGAUUUGUAAUCAGUAGGUCGCGGGUUCAAAUCCCGCCGCCGGCC
Molecule: non-coding RNA, 73 nt
Organism: Archangium gephyra
Lineage: Bacteria; Pseudomonadati; Myxococcota; Myxococcia; Myxococcales; Archangiaceae
Source: Rfam